GUGGGGAAUAUUGGACAAUGGGCGCAAGCCUGAUCCAGCCAUGCCGCGUGAGUGAUGAAGGCCCUAGGGUUGUAAAGCUCUUUCAGUGGGGACGAUAAUGACGGUACCCACAGAAGAAGCCCCGGCUAACUUCGUGCCAGCAGCCGCGGUAAUACGAAGGGGGCUAGCGUUGUUCGGAUUUACUGGGCGUAAAGCGCACGUAGGCGGAUCGUUAAGUCGAGGGUGAAAUCCUGGAGCUCAACUCCAGAACUGCCUUCGAUACUGGCGAUCUUGAGUCCGUAAGAGGUGAGUGGAACUCCUAGUGUAGAGGUGGAAUUCGUAGAUAUUAGGAAGAACACCAGUGGCGAAGGCGGCUCACUGGUCCGGUACUGACGCUGAGGUGCGAAAGCGUGGGGAGCAAACAGGAUUAGAAACCCGAGUAGUCC
RNAcentral lists this ribosomal RNA (425 nucleotides) under uncultured bacterium. Its description in RNAcentral is "partial 16S ribosomal RNA". It matches the Rfam family "Bacterial small subunit ribosomal RNA", at positions 354 to 796 of the family's 1533-position model. The record is from RNAcentral.